This 301-nucleotide ribosomal RNA is filed under the name uncultured bacterium. RNAcentral describes it as "partial 16S ribosomal RNA". It matches the Rfam family "Bacterial small subunit ribosomal RNA", at positions 509 to 807 of the family's 1533-position model. The record is from RNAcentral.
CAGCAGCCGCGGGAAUACGGAGGAUCCAAGCGUUAUCCGGAUUUAUUGGGUUUAAAGGGUGCGUGGGCGGCCUAUUAAGUCAGGGGUGAAAGACGGUAGCUUAACUAUCGCAGUGCCUUUGAUACUGAUGGGCUUGAAUACACUUGAGGUAGGCGGAAUGUGACAAGUAGCGGUGAAAUGCAUAGAUAUGUCACAGAACACCAAUUGCGAAGGCAGCUUACUAAAGUGACAUUGACGCUGAGGCACGAAAGCGUGGGGAUCAAACAGGAUUAGAUACCCCCGUAGUCCCUGUCUCUUAUAC